GUGUCCAUCAGUCCAUCUGGUGAAAUAGUGGAGGGAGAUUCAGUGACUCUGAUCUGCAGCAGUGAUUCAAACCCUCCUGCUCUGAACUUCAGCUGGUUUAAGGAGAAUCAAACCUCAGCUGUUGGAUCUGGACAGAGUUUCAGCAUCUCCAGCUUUAACUCCAGUCACAGUGGACAUUACUCCUGUGAAGCUCAGAAUAAACAUGGAUCUCAGAGAUCAGCAUCUGUUUCAGUCACUGUUAAAGGGGUUCAGAGAGCUGCUCUACUCACAGUUACUGGGAUUGUGGUGGGAUGUGGAGGAUUGAUUUUCAUCAUCAUCAUCAUCAUUGUGUUCAUAAGUAGGAAGAGGAGAAGCGAAGGUGGAAGUGAAGAUGUGAAUCAAAAGCAGGCG
Labeo rohita (rohu) is the source of this 390-nucleotide long non-coding RNA. RefSeq lists it as uncharacterized. The record is from RefSeq and is a predicted model, not a curated record. The transcript has 3 exons. NCBI's taxonomy places the organism in Eukaryota, Metazoa, Chordata, Actinopteri, Cypriniformes, Cyprinidae.